UGGGGAAUAUUGCACAAUGGGCGAAAGCCUGAUGCAGCGACGCCGCGUGCGGGAUGAAGGCCUUCGGGUUGUAAACCGCUUUUAAUUGGGAGCAAGCGAGAGUGAGUGUACCUUUUGAAUAAGCACCGGCUAACUACGUGCCAGCAGCCGCGGUAAUACGUAGGGUGCAAGCGUUAUCCGGAAUUAUUGGGCGUAAAGAGCUCGUAGGCGGUUUGUCACGCCUGGUGUGAAAGUCCAUCGCUUAACGGUGGAUCUGCGCCGGGUACGGGCAGGCUAGAGUGCAGUAGGGGAGAUUGGAAUUCCCGGUGUAACGGUGGAAUGUGUAGAUAUCGGGAAGAACACCAAUGGCGAAGGCAGAUCUCUGGGCUGUUACUGACGCUGAGGAGCGAAAGCAUGGGGAGCGAACAGGAUUAGAUACCCUGGUAGUCCAUGCCGUAAACGGUGGAUGCUGGAUGUGGGACCCUUCCACGGGUUCCGUGUCGGAGCUAACGCGUUAAGCAUCCCCGCCUGGGGGAGUACGGCCGCAAGGCUAAAAC
This 536-nucleotide ribosomal RNA is filed under the name uncultured bacterium. RNAcentral's name for it is "partial 16S ribosomal RNA". It matches the Rfam family "Bacterial small subunit ribosomal RNA", at positions 355 to 900 of the family's 1533-position model. The record is from RNAcentral.